CCUACGGGGGGCUGCAGUGAGGAAUAUUGGUCAAUGGGCGGGAGCCUGAACCAGCCAAGUCGCGUGAGGGACGACGGUCCUAUGGAUUGUAAACCUCUUUUGUCGGGGAACAAAGGCGCCCACGGGUGGGCGGAUGAGUGUACCCGAAGAAAAAGCAUCGGCUAACUCCGUGCCAGCAGCCGCGGUAAUACGGAAGGUCCGGGCGUUAUCCGGAUUUAUUGGGUUUAAAGGGAGCGUAGGCCGGCUUUUAAGUCAGCUGUGAAAGUCCGCGGCUCAACCGUGGAAUUGCAGUUGAAACUGGAGGCCUUGAGUGCACACAGGGAUGCCGGAAGUCAUGGUGUAGCGGUGAAAUGCUUAGAUAUCAUGAAGAACUCCGAUCGCGAAGGCAAGUGGCCGGGGUGCAACUGACGCUGAGGCUCGAAAGUGCGGGUAUCAAACAGGAUUAGAUACCCCAGUAGUC
Molecule: ribosomal RNA, 460 nt
Filed under: uncultured bacterium
Lineage: Bacteria
Description: partial 16S ribosomal RNA
Rfam family: Bacterial small subunit ribosomal RNA
Source: RNAcentral